Molecule: ribosomal RNA, 550 nt
Filed under: uncultured bacterium
Lineage: Bacteria
Description: partial 16S ribosomal RNA
Rfam family: Bacterial small subunit ribosomal RNA
Source: RNAcentral
UGGGGAAUUUUGGACAAUGGGGGAAACCCUGAUCCAGCCAUCCCGCGUGUGCGAUGAAGGCCUUCGGGUUGUAAAGCACUUUUGGCAGGAAAGAAACGUCGCGGGUUAAUACCCCGCGAAACUGACGGUACCUGCAGAAUAAGCACCGGCUAACUACGUGCCAGCAGCCGCGGUAAUACGUAGGGUGCAAGCGUUAAUCGGAAUUACUGGGCGUAAAGCGUGCGCAGGCGGUUCGGAAAGAAAGAUGUGAAAUCCCAGAGCUUAACUUUGGGAACUGCAUUUUUAACUACCGGGCUAGAGUGUGUCAGAGGGAGGUGGAAUUCCGCGUGUAGCAGUGAAAUGCGUAGAUAUGCGGAGGAACACCGAUGGCGAAGGCAGCCUCCUGGGAUAACACUGACGCUCAUGCACGAAAGCGUGGGGAGCAAACAGGAUUAGAUACCCUGGUAGUCCACGCCCUAAACGAUGUCAACUAGCUGUUGGGGGCCUUCGGGCCUUGGUAGCGCAGCUAAUGCGUGAAGUUGACCGCCUGGGGGAGUACGGUCGCAAGAUU